Ictalurus punctatus (channel catfish) is the source of this 1300-nucleotide long non-coding RNA. Lineage: Eukaryota; Metazoa; Chordata; Actinopteri; Siluriformes; Ictaluridae. The record is from Ensembl.
AACAAUUUCAUUAGGUGAAAAAGAGUUAUUCAAGACCAACAUACACAGCGAGAUGUGUACGGGAAGGAAUUUAUGUUAUGCAGCUUUCCGUAAUGUCUAUCAGCCUACUGAUUAGAUGACACAGGGAAGGCUGGAGUUGUUGGGAAGUGUUUUAUUGUUUUUAUAUUUAGAGCUAGUCUGUUUCAUUUACUAAAGUGGAAAAAUCACUGAGAACACUGAGAACAGCUUCUACCGAGACUUCCAGGUGACAUGUUUAAAAAGGCUUCUUUAAAAGAAGGGCGGAUCACUUAUCCUUUCUUUAUCCGCAAGAUUAAAAACGACAGUCAACAUACUGAAGCACGUAGAUGCGCUGAGAGAAAUCUGCUCCAAAGACCGUCAUGGGGUUUAUUUACGAAUAGGACAGGAUACAGAUUAAUGAAGGUCUUGCUACUGUUGGCAGUUUUCCUGAGAACCAGCAGCAAAGAGCGAAUACUUCAACCGAGCAACACCGUCAAAUCGCCAGGCGCAACGCGAGAUCUACUGCAGCGAUGACAGGGGUUUGUACAAAUACAGCAAACUGAGCAGGCAGGCCUCAAGUCUUCUCUAUACACAGCUGCAGUUACAGUAUAUACAACAGGGCACAUCACAGAUCGUAAGGACGAGCAGCGGUCAGCUCACAUUCACCGCACGAUUGCCAAUUUUCACAGUUUGCUGUGUCAGUUUUCUCAGAUUUGUUUGGACCACAACUCAAAGGGUACAUUUCAGCAGGGCGUAAGUACGCGUAGGGUCAUGAAGCAAUGCUGAAAACGCAUACGGACUCCCUUGAUCAUUCCAUAGCUUCGGCUCAUGCAUAGUAAGACCAAUACAGACUAUACAAAGGCUACAUUAUAUCAUUUAGGCUUAUUCAUAUGUGCACAAUUAUGAAAAUAUUAAAACCACGACUAGAGUUUUAGAAAAUACCAUCACUGACUCUACUUUGGUAGAAAGGAACAUCAUGACGUCUAGAAAUCAUAUAGUGUGGCUUUUCGGUACAUACAGUAAAUCACGUGUCGUGUGAGUGGACAGCCGGUUGUAUUUUACAAUCUAGCUCUUGAAAUCCAACGUGGUGUUUUUGAUAUGUUUAAGUUCAGUUUCCGUUGCACAGUAUUCACAAUAUCGUAGAAAUAAAAAGGCAGAUCCAAUGGCUGAGCCUGAUGUUGGACCUGAGCUCUGGGAUCAUAUGCGUAAAGAAUCUCCAGUGGUGAUCGGGGAACGUUCACUUCUUUUCCAAGACUGUAAAUGCUGCGUCACACGGCAGUGUCAGUCAUUUGGAGGAAAGCUC